This 585-nucleotide ribosomal RNA is filed under the name Verticillium dahliae. RNAcentral's name for it is "rRNA small subunit". The record is from RNAcentral. Lineage: Eukaryota; Fungi; Ascomycota; Sordariomycetes; Glomerellales; Plectosphaerellaceae.
GCGGAUCAUCGAAUUAAAUAACAUACUUCACUACUGGUGUCAGAAACGGUCUAGUGAUUUCAGUUCCUGCGUUGCCACAUUACUCUUGAGGUGGAAUGCUUUUAUUUUCAUUGAUAGACUAAAUUCUCAUUUAAUCUACGACAUUCAUCAUUGUCUGCAAAGACUACUGGGGUGUCAAAUCCUGUUUGCGACCUAUGCCUUCGUCCUUCAACGUCAGUUUUUACAUAAAAGACUGCCUACGCCGUUGCCAGUCCCUUUGGUAUCACAGAAUUUAAUCUCUCCAACUCUAAGUACUGUCUUCUUACAUAAAACUCUAGACAAAUAUUACCUAUUAAAGGAUAAUCUGACCGUUUGAGUACCCUUUAAACCUAUUUAAGAUGAAUAACGCUAGUCUCAUACGUAUUACCGCGACUGCUGGCACGUAUUUUGUCAAGACCGUAUAUACAUAUCGUCAUUAUAUCAAUGUAUUUAAAAUUUUAUUCGAUUAAUCAAUUAAAUUUUACUUAUAUUUCUAUUUUCAAACUUCCCAUUCUUUCAAGUUGCCAGUUCGGCCGUUAGGCCAUUGACUAAUAUUCUUGACUGCUG